Molecule: long non-coding RNA, 886 nt
Organism: Magnolia sinica
Lineage: Eukaryota; Viridiplantae; Streptophyta; Magnoliopsida; Magnoliales; Magnoliaceae
Exons: 2
Source: RefSeq, a predicted model, not a curated record
AACCUAAAAAAUAUUGAGAAAAUUACCUUGCAAACAAUGCAGUUGUUCCCAACAGACAUGUCAGCAAGGGAGCAGCACCUAAAAAUAAGUUUCGAGCUUCUUUCUCAAGCCAAUCACCUUGCCCAGAUGACUCACAGCCGUCUAUUAAACGGUCAUGAUCCAUGUUUCCAAUUUUCCAUAAACAAGACAAUUCAUGAACCCUGUCAGCAACGCAGACAAAGAAAACUUAAACAGACACCCCAUAAGGCAGGAUAUAUUGAUAAACAAAGACUAAUGGUUAAAAAAACAUUUCAAGACAGAAGGAUCCUUGGACCUCGAGUUGCUGCAAUGUGGCUCGAUAGAAGCAGUCGAUGACAUAUCUGCAGCAGAGACAAUUUCUUAGUAACAAGAAUCUCCUUCAGCCUUUCUUUCUCUGUCCAACUUCCUCUCAUUCUCUUCAAUGGCUCUCUUUGCUUCUCUAGCUUUCUCCCACUCCUUUUUCACUACUGCUUGGCUCACUUCACUCCAAACCAAAGUAGAUUCACUUGGAAACAAUCCCUGUCGCAGUGAAAAACGACAUAUCUCUUAUGUUCAAAACCAUAGUUCUAAAACUGACUGACUUGAUUCAAAACUCAGCUGAGUCAACUCGAUUCGAGCUGAAUCUCUAGGAAACUCAGUACCAUGCAUUACACGAUUGCAACUUGGUAAGAUCGUCGAGUCGCUUGAUCACUCACUCAUAUUGUAAUUCAAUUCAUAAAGACUACCAAACACCAAAUUGUAAUAUAAAACAUUGUGGUUUUGUACUAUCUUUCCCCCUGGCAUGCCACUUCUGUAGGAUAUUCUAGCUAAGAAAAUUGUAAACCAGCUAUGAUGAAUAUACCCCAAACCAAAAAAAUAAAAAAAUAAA